This 253-nucleotide ribosomal RNA is filed under the name uncultured bacterium. Its description in RNAcentral is "partial 16S ribosomal RNA". It matches the Rfam family "Bacterial small subunit ribosomal RNA", at positions 524 to 776 of the family's 1533-position model. The record is from RNAcentral.
UACGGAGAGUGCAAGCAUUAAUCGGAAUUAUUGGGCGUAAAGGGCGCGUAGGCGGGAGAAUAAGUCAGAUGUGAGAUUCCAAAGCUCAACUUUGGAGCUGCAUUUGAAACUAUAAUUCUAGAGGAUUGACGGGGAAAACGGAAUUCCACGUGUAGCGGUGAAAUGCGUAGAUAUGUGGAAGAACACCUGUGGCGAAAGCGGUUUUCUAGUUAAUACCUGACGCUGAGGCGCGAGAGCAAGGGGAGCAAACAGG